Molecule: ribosomal RNA, 494 nt
Filed under: uncultured bacterium
Lineage: Bacteria
Description: bacterial SSU rRNA
Rfam family: Bacterial small subunit ribosomal RNA
Source: RNAcentral
GGCGGCGUGCCUAACACAUGCAAGUCGUACGAGAAAGCCGGCUUCGGCUGGUGAGUAAAAGUGGCGCACGGGUGAGUAACGCGUGGAUAAUCUGCCCUUAAGUGUGGAAUAACGUACCGAAAGGUGCGCUAAUACCGCAUAAUGCCUGGCAACACAAGUUGUCCGGCCAAAGAAGGCCUCUGUUUACAAGCUUUCGCUUCAGGAUGAGUCCGCGUACCAUUAGCUUGUUGGUGGGGUAAUGGCCUACCAAGGCUGCGAUGGUUAGCUGGUCUGAGAGGAUGAUCAGCCACACUGGAACUGAGACACGGUCCAGACUCCUACGGGAGGCAGCAGUGAGGAAUAUUGCGCAAUGGGGGCAACCCUGACGCAGCAACGCCGCGUGAGUGAGGAAGGUUUUCGGACUGUAAAGCUCUGUCGAGCGGGAAGAAGUGUACCAUGGCUAAUAUCCAUGAUAUUUGACGGUACCGCUAGAGGAAGCACCGGCUAACUCCGUG